UACGUAGGGGGCAAGUGUUGUCCGGAUUUAUUGGGCGUAAAGAGCGUGUAGGCGGCCAAGCAGGUCCGCUGUGAAAACUCGAGGCUCAACCUCGAGAGGUCGGUGGAAACCGUUUGGCUAGAGUCCGGAAGAGGAGAGUGGAAUUCCCGGUGUAGCGGUGAAAUGCGCAGAUAUCGGGAAGAACACCCGUGGCGAAGGCGGCUCUCUGGGACGGUACUGACGCUGAGACGCGAAAGCGUGGGGAGCGAACAGG
RNAcentral lists this ribosomal RNA (253 nucleotides) under uncultured bacterium. RNAcentral describes it as "partial 16S ribosomal RNA". It matches the Rfam family "Bacterial small subunit ribosomal RNA", at positions 524 to 776 of the family's 1533-position model. The record is from RNAcentral.